This 2494-nucleotide ribosomal RNA is filed under the name human gut metagenome. RNAcentral's name for it is "bacterial LSU rRNA". It matches the Rfam family "Bacterial large subunit ribosomal RNA", at positions 1 to 2524 of the family's 2925-position model. The record is from RNAcentral.
UUAAGCGACUAAGCGUACACGGUGGAUGCCCUGGCAGUCAGAGGCGAUGAAGGACGUGCUAAUCUGCGAUAAGCGUCGGUAAGGUGAUAUGAACCGUUAUAACCGGCGAUUUCCGAAUGGGGAAACCCAGUGUGAUUCGUCACACUAUCAUUAACUGAAUCCAUAGGUUAAUGAGGCGAACCGGGGGAACUGAAACAUCUAAGUACCCCGAGGAAAAGAAAUCAACCGAGAUUCCCCCAGUAGCGGCGAGCGAACGGGGAGCAGCCCAGAGCCUGAAUCAGUGUGUGUGUUAGUGGAAGCGUCUGGAAAGGCGCGCGAUACAGGGUGACAGCCCCGUACACAAAAAUGCACAUACUGUGAGCUCGAUGAGUAGGGCGGGACACGUGGUAUCCUGUCUGAAUAUGGGGGGACCAUCCUCCAAGGCUAAAUACUCCUGACUGACCGAUAGUGAACCAGUACCGUGAGGGAAAGGCGAAAAGAACCCCGGCGAGGGGAGUGAAAAAGAACCUGAAACCGUGUACGUACAAGCAGUGGGAGCACGCUUCGGCGUGUGACUGCGUACCUUUUGUAUAAUGGGUCAGCGACUUAUAUUCUGUAGCAAGGUUAACCGAAUAGGGGAGCCGAAGGGAAACCGAGUCUUAACUGGGCGUUAAGUUGCAGGGUAUAGACCCGAAACCCGGUGAUCUAGCCAUGGGCAGGUUGAAGGUUGGGUAACACUAACUGGAGGACCGAACCGACUAAUGUUGAAAAAUUAGCGGAUGACUUGUGGCUGGGGGUGAAAGGCCAAUCAAACCGGGAGAUAGCUGGUUCUCCCCGAAAUCUAUUUAGGUAGAGCCUUGAGCGGACACCUUCGGGGGUAGAGCACUGUUUCGGCUAGGGGUCCAUCCCGGAUUACCAACCCGAUGCAAACUACGAAUACCGAAGAGUGAUACUCAGGAGACACACGGCGGGUGCUAACGUCCGUCGUGGAGAGGGAAACAACCCAGACCGCCAGCUAAGGUCCCAAAGUCAUGGUUAAGUGGGAAACGAUGUGGGAAGGCCCAGACAGCCAGGAUGUUGGCUUAGAAGCAGCCAUCAUUUAAAGAAAGCGUAAUAGCUCACUGGUCGAGUCGGCCUGCGCGGAAGAUGUAACGGGGCUAAACCAUGCACCGAAGCUGCGGCAGCGACACUAUGUGUUGUUGGGUAGGGGAGCGUUCUGUAAGCCUGUGAAGGUGUACUGUGAGGUAUGCUGGAGGUAUCAGAAGUGCGAAUGCUGACAUAAGUAACGAUAAAACGGGUGAAAAACCCGUUCGCCGGAAGACCAAGGGUUCCUGUCCAACGUUAAUCGGGGCAGGGUGAGUCGACCCCUAAGGCGAGGCCGAAAGGCGUAGUCGAUGGGAAACAGGUUAAUAUUCCUGUACUUGGUGUUACUGCGAAGGGGGGACGGAGAAGGCUAUGUUGGCCGGGCGACGGUUGUCCCGGUUUAAGCGUGUAGGCUGGUUUUCCAGGCAAAUCCGGAAAAUCAAGGCUGAGGCGUGAUGACGAGGCACUACGGUGCUGAAGCAACAAAUGCCCUGCUUCCAGGAAAAGCCUCUAAGCAUCAGGUAACAUCAAAUCGUACCCCAAACCGACACAGGUGGUCAGGUAGAGAAUACCAAGGCGCUUGAGAGAACUCGGGUGAAGGAACUAGGCAAAAUGGUGCCGUAACUUCGGGAGAAGGCACGCUGAUAUGUAGGUGAAGCGACUUGCUCGUGGAGCUGAAAUCAGUCGAAGAUACCAGCUGGCUGCAACUGUUUAUUAAAAACACAGCACUGUGCAAACACGAAAGUGGACGUAUACGGUGUGACGCCUGCCCGGUGCCGGAAGGUUAAUUGAUGGGGUUAGCGCAAGCGAAGCUCUUGAUCGAAGCCCCGGUAAACGGCGGCCGUAACUAUAACGGUCCUAAGGUAGCGAAAUUCCUUGUCGGGUAAGUUCCGACCUGCACGAAUGGCGUAAUGAUGGCCAGGCUGUCUCCACCCGAGACUCAGUGAAAUUGAACUCGCUGUGAAGAUGCAGUGUACCCGCGGCAAGACGGAAAGACCCCGUGAACCUUUACUAUAGCUUGACACUGAACAUUGAGCCUUGAUGUGUAGGAUAGGUGGGAGGCUUUGAAGUGUGGACGCCAGUCUGCAUGGAGCCGACCUUGAAAUACCACCCUUUAAUGUUUGAUGUUCUAACGUUGACCCGUGAUCCGGGUUGCGGACAGUGUCUGGUGGGUAGUUUGACUGGGGCGGUCUCCUCCUAAAGAGUAACGGAGGAGCACGAAGGUUGGCUAAUCCUGGUCGGACAUCAGGAGGUUAGUGCAAUGGCAUAAGCCAGCUUGACUGCGAGCGUGACGGCGCGAGCAGGUGCGAAAGCAGGUCAUAGUGAUCCGGUGGUUCUGAAUGGAAGGGCCAUCGCUCAACGGAUAAAAGGUACUCCGGGGAUAACAGGCUGAUACCGCCCAAGAGUUCAUAUCGACGGCGGUGUUUGGCAC